Molecule: ribosomal RNA, 484 nt
Filed under: uncultured bacterium
Lineage: Bacteria
Description: partial 16S ribosomal RNA
Rfam family: Bacterial small subunit ribosomal RNA
Source: RNAcentral
AUUGAACGCUGGCGGCAGGCCUAACACAUGCAAGUCGAGCGGAUGAAGGGAGCUUGCUCCUGGAUUAAGCGGCGGACGGGUGAGUAAUGCCUAGGAAUCUGCCUGGUAGUGGGGGAUAACGUCCGGAAACGGGCGCUAAUACCGCAUACGUCCUGAGGGAGAAAGUGGGGGAUCUUCGGACCUCACGCUACCAGAUGAGCCUAGGUCGGAUUAGCUAGUUGGUGGGGUAAAGGCCUACCAAGGCGACGAUCCGUAACUGGUCUGAGAGGAUGAUCAGUCACACUGGAACUGAGACACGGUCCAGACUCCUACGGGAGGCAGCAGUGGGGAAUAUUGGACAAUGGGCGAAAGCCUGAUCCAGCCAUGCCGCGUGUGUGAAGAAGGUCUUCGGAUUGUAAAGCACUUUAAGUUGGGAGGAAGGGCAGUAAGUUAAUACCUUGCUGUUUUGACGUUACCAACAGAAUAAGCACCGGCUAACUUCGUG